Molecule: long non-coding RNA, 808 nt
Organism: Macadamia integrifolia
Lineage: Eukaryota; Viridiplantae; Streptophyta; Magnoliopsida; Proteales; Proteaceae
Exons: 2
Source: RefSeq, a predicted model, not a curated record
UAAUGGUAACUUCUUGCUUUCCUUAAAUUUCGAUUGUUUUGGGUAGGAAAAGGGUAGAGAGAGAAAAUAGAUAUAACGGACUCUUCUAUUUUGUGGGAUUUUGAAUCGGAAAGUAGGGAUGAGUGGUAAACGUAAAAACAGGGGAGACUAUAACCACCAGAGUCCAGAACCGAAAGAAUUGCAACGUACAUAGAAUUGUCAUUCUCUUCGUGAAAAGAAAAAAAAAGAAGAGGGCAGGAAGGAUCAGCCAAGAAGAACCGACCCAUCAUUUCAGUGAGUAUCUGUUUACAACUUGAAAAUGGCUGCACACAAGAUGAUUCACCCCAAGGGGGCAACGGCUCAUGUUUCGCCAAUAGGUAUUGCCAAGGAGAUCUGCUAUGGGAUCAUAGCCGCAAUUGCCUUUGGUGGUGCAUGGAAGUGGAAACAGUGGGAAGGUCAACGAGAUCGUAAGCUAUUUUAUAGCCAAUUAGAGAAAGGUGAGAUCAGUAUAGUUAAAGAAGAUUAACUCUGCUUUCAACUUUGGAGCAGGAGAGAAUAAAUUUUUUGGUACUGAAACUUAAAAGCAACAUUUUUCGAUUACCCAUUUCUCAAUAUAAUGGGUUUCUGUUUCUUUAGAAUUAUGGCCAGACUGGUUUUUAAUACUCAAUAAAAUGUAUGUAAUAUUUGAUGAGUAGAAUAUCUAUCUGAUUUUGACAAAUAUGCUUAACAUACAAGCCAUAGUUGUCUAGGCAUCCCUGAAGCCAGCACUGGUUGAUCCAAUGUUGCAGCCAACAAUGUUAUGAAUGAUAUGAGCUGCAGUUCUUGAUCA